This 253-nucleotide ribosomal RNA is filed under the name uncultured bacterium. RNAcentral's name for it is "partial 16S ribosomal RNA". It matches the Rfam family "Bacterial small subunit ribosomal RNA", at positions 524 to 776 of the family's 1533-position model. The record is from RNAcentral.
UACGUAGGGAGCGGGCGUUGUCCGGAUUUAUUGGGCGUAAAGCGCGCGUAGGCGGUUUUGUAAGUCGGGGGUGAAAGCCUGUGGCUCAACCACAGAAUUGCCUUCGAUACUGUAGAGCUUGAGACCGGAAGAGGUAAGUGGAACUGCGAGUGUAGAGGUGAAAUUCGUAGAUAUUCGCAAGAACACCAGUGGCGAAGGCGGCUUACUGGUCCGGUUCUGACGCUGAGGCGCGAAAGCGUGGGGAGCAAACAGG